MicroRNA precursor from Colobus angolensis palliatus, 68 nucleotides. The record is from Ensembl. NCBI's taxonomy places the organism in Eukaryota, Metazoa, Chordata, Mammalia, Primates, Cercopithecidae.
GGCUAACUCAUGUUUGUUGUAAGGACAGUUGUGGCAAUACAGUUAUCCUUACAACAAAUAAUUUGCCA